UUCUUUCUUCUCUCGGGAUCCUGCCUUCUUGAUAGGAUAUUGAAGUCCUAUCCAGUUUUUUUUCCUGCUGCACUUACGUGAUUUUCAUAAAGGGCUUUGUCUGUUUUGAUUACUACUUAAUAUUUUCUUUUUCCCCUCCUCAAGUUGUGACUUCUUGCUUGUUCUCUCAGAAAUCACUGUCUACUUCCGAAUCAAAGCUGAGAGUUUCCUGGGAAUUGAUUUCACUCUCUCUUCUUCUGAAGAGGCUUUUUAGAAGUGAUUACUUUUUCUAGGACAGGCUGCUCCAGUUAAACUCUCUUUGCAGAACUUCCUUUGUUACAGCAUUUCAGGUGUUCCAGGAUGGUGCAAUGUCCGAACAUCCUCUGACUGAAGUGGAAGAGAAGACAAGGUACUCAUCUGUACAGGGAACACAGCAUUUGCUUUGUCUUUGUUUUCUUGAUAUUUUAAUGUAUGUUGUUUCUACUCUGUCACUAAACUUUCUUUUAUCAUAUUCACAUUGCGUUAGGAAAAAGAAAAACAGUCACAAAGAAAAGACUUGAAGGCAAUUUUUUUGUGUAAUUAAGCACUUGAAAACUCAAUUUCAACUUGUCUGCAUCAACACAUACUGUGAUAUCUUUACAUUUCUAAUUUUUUACUGCAAGUCAUUCUUCUUCUCUCAGUGUACUGUAUAGGACUCCUUGCUGCCCGUGAUUAACAGGUCAAAUGUUGUCUACUGUGCUUAUUGAACAGGAUCACAGGGAAGGGAAGAUGCCUGAUGGAGGUGAUCCUUCCUUGUCUGUUCCUUACUUCAAGGAAAACUUCAAACGGGAUCUAAAAGCAAAUGACAGUUGUUGACUACAGUAUUUAUUUGCAAACUUCAAUGGGAAGCUGGGUUCAAGAUUCUUGGCAUGCCUGACUAUGCUUACAUUCAGAUGACUGGAGGAAAUUACAGAACCACACCUGGCUUUGUGCUGCAGGAGAUAUUUGGAAUGAGAAUAUGCAGCCUCUGCUGACUGUCUCCACCACCACCAACAAAGUCCCCAGGGGAUGCUUUUGAGCUCUGCAGCAGUGAUUUGUUGUGCCCCUGGCAGAACAGGAGGUCUGAGCUGCAGAAACUCCAUCACAGCAGACCCAGGUGUUUAGUGCACAGCCUGAAACCCACAGUGGAUAAGGCAGCAGACACCCACCCCAGCAUGUGGCACAGAGAUGGCCUUGGUGGGGAGGCUGCAAUGAGCCCAAACUGGGCAUUACUGCCUGGUUCUGAAUACACACUGGAGUGGAAGUCCUCCACUUUGCAAGGCAGCACUGUGAGCCCAUCAAUGCCCUUGUUCUUCCUUAAAAAAUUUUAAUGCAAAUCCUAAUUUAGAAAUUUUUUCCCACUGCAGAUUUGCCAGUAACUGUUACAAGCUAUUUCCUUUCUGCAGAACAGCUGCUUAUACUCAAUCUUAUUUAAUUGAGACACAAAUAGAAGUAGAGAUAUUCCAAAGCCGGUUUGUAGCUAUUUGCAUAGGUUAAUUUCAGGGUUUUUUUGGAAGAACAUUUUCUCUGUUUCACUAUUACAACUUUUCCUGUAUUAUUUAUUUUUCUCUCUGCUGCUAGAAUUGAAAUCUCAAUCACAUAAGAUCACCACGUUGCGGAGAUCACUUGUGUGCCUUUUUUAAGGAUCUUCCCUGCACUUAUCAAGAAUCUCCUGCAGUUCACAGUUCAGUGACCAUGGUACAUGUAACACAAUGUUCAUCCUUUCCAAGUGAGCAAUGCUCUGCGCCCUACAGCUUAGAGGUCAGCUGGGUCUGUAGAAGUAAGCUACUGCACUUGAGAUUUUAGCAGUGGGAUAUUUGCCCUCUGACUGUAUUUGUGAACUCAUCGCAGCUGUAGCACAGUACUGUGGUAUUUCCUGCUCCAGGGAUUGCAUAUGCCAGGCAGAGGUGCUGUGCCAGGGCACUGCAGAGGCAGGAGGUGCCAGACAGAAGCCAAAUGCACCUUCAGUUUCUGGGUAUAAAUCUUGACAAUCCUGAGUAAAGCCAAAGACUUCUGCGAAGACCAGGAUUUAGCCCUGAAAAUAUUCAAGAGAAUGAGCUUUAUAAGUAGGUAUGUCUGACAGAGCAUAAGAUAAUGAACAUAAACAUUCUGUUUGAGUCCUGCCAAUGUUCAGGAAAAUAGGGGUUAAUGUAACAAGAGAAACACAGAGCUGCUGUUGAAUAACAUAUGUGGAGUUGUUAAAAGGGCAUCAGCACUGUUCUUCCUAAUUAGAACAACUGGCAAUAGUCCAGGCUUUUGUCUAGCUGCUUGGGUCAAAAGUGUAGCAACAGUCUGAAUGUAAUAUAAAAUAAACAUCACAAUGGGUAUUAUACUGAGUGUAAUAAUAGUUUGGCAUGUAAUGCAUCAUUAUCUCUCAUUAAUUUUCAACUGGCACGAUACAAAAAAACACAGGGCCUUGCCAUUGAGUUUAAACGUGGCUGGCUCUUGAAUUCACAGAAUUUUCUUUCAAUGUUUAACAAUUGAUUCUUCCAUCACAAUCUUUAUGCUUUAACCUUUGCUGAUACAGGAAUGGACUUCUUUAAAUCUCUAGCAGAAAAGAGGGACAGAAAAUCUAAAUUAUAGCUCCAUAAAUAGAAAUAGAAUAAAUGUAAAACAUUUUGUUCCCAUGUGUAAUUUGUAGAAAUUAUUUUCUCAUGAUCACAAAGCCUUCAGGCUGAAUUUCAGUUGCCAGAAGCAUGCUGGUUGUGAAGUAUAGUGUUCGAAAUUUAAAAAAAAAAAAAAGUUGAGAGAUAAAUGUUUAAUUUGUGACUAUCAGUCACUUCACAUUUCUGAACGAUUGUUGAGUACCCAUAAGAUGGCUGUGAUUGCCAAUCCAGUGAUGUGAGCAUUGAGGAAACCCUGCCUAUAUUUGCUGAAAGCAAUUAAUGUUGGUUGCUCAGUUAAACGAAUCAACACCUGUACCCGACACAAGAACAGAUGGCAUUAUUUUUGUAUUUUUGCCAGCACUGAUGUUAUACCACAGCAUAGUAAAUCUACAAGUAAUGCACCUAAAUUUAAAAGACACUGUGAGAGAAGAAUGCUGGUGUGGUGAAAAAUUAAUCAUUUUCUUACAACGUUUGAGUCGAGGAAGAACAAAAGUCUACAGAUCCUACAAACUCAAUUUCAAAAUCUGAGCACUUGUUAUGGCAGAAAUUGUGUAGUAGUUUGAUGUGAUAUUUCCUGCCUGAAAGCAAAGGACUAUACUCUGCAGUGAUAAGAUUCUGCAUUUCACUUAGCUACUUCCCAUUUCUAUGUUCUUCCCCACCUGUGCAUCCCAGAAUCCCCUUCCAUCCACGCCAUUAGUGUUGCCAGCACAACCCCUUGCACGGACAACCUAUGGAGAAAAUCAAGGAACUAAUCUGACCAAAAAAUCACCUCGCAAAACAGAAGUUUCAAAAUUCAGAUUAGUAUCUACAUGCUGCCCUCCUUUCCCGGGUAGUUGUCUUUAUACAACUGAUGGUAUUACACAGGGCCAAGGCAAAGAAAUAAGCAACAUGAAAACACAGUUCACAGUGGGGCUUGCGUUUUUAAUCCAUCAUUGAUUAAUAAACUAGGAUUUAAAUUGAA
This is a long non-coding RNA of Tympanuchus pallidicinctus (lesser prairie-chicken), 3564 nucleotides long. RefSeq lists it as uncharacterized. The transcript has 2 exons. The record is from RefSeq and is a predicted model, not a curated record. NCBI's taxonomy places the organism in Eukaryota, Metazoa, Chordata, Aves, Galliformes, Phasianidae.